UACGGAGGGUGCGAGCGUUAAUCGGAAUCACUGGGCGUAAAGCGCGCGUAGGCGGCUUUUCAAGUCAGGGGUGAAAUCCCACGGCCCAACCGUGGAACUGCCUUUGAAACUGUAGAGCUUGAGUGUCGGAGAGGGUGGCGGAAUUCCAGGUGUAGGAGUGAAAUCCGUAGAUAUCUGGAGGAACACCGGUGGCGAAGGCGGCCACCUGGACGACGACUGACGCUGAGGUGCGAAAGCGUGGGUAGCAAACAGG
Molecule: ribosomal RNA, 253 nt
Filed under: uncultured bacterium
Lineage: Bacteria
Description: partial 16S ribosomal RNA
Rfam family: Bacterial small subunit ribosomal RNA
Source: RNAcentral